Molecule: ribosomal RNA, 454 nt
Filed under: uncultured bacterium
Lineage: Bacteria
Description: partial 16S ribosomal RNA
Rfam family: Bacterial small subunit ribosomal RNA
Source: RNAcentral
GAUGAACGCUGACAGAAUGCUUAACACAUGCAAGUCAACUUGAACUUCGGUUUGGGUGGCGGACGGGUGAGUAACGCGUAAAGAACUUGCCUCACAGCUAGGGACACCAUUUGGAAACGAAUGCUAAUACCUGAUAUUAUUAUUAUAUGGCAUCGUAUAAUUAUGAAAGCUAUAUGCGCUGUGAGAGAGCUUUGCGUCCCAUUAGCUAGUUGGAGAGGUAACAGCUCACCAAGGCGAUGAUGGGUAGCCGGCCUGAGAGGGUGAUCGGCCACAAGGGGACUGAGACACGGCCCUUACUCCUACGGGAGGCAGCAGUGGGGAAUAUUGGACAAUGGACCGAGAGUCUGAUCCAGCAAUUCUGUGUGCACGAUGAAGUUUUUCGGAAUGUAAAGGGCUUUCAGUUGGGAAGAAAAAAAUGACGGUACCAACAGAAGAAGAGACGGCUAAAUACGUG